Molecule: ribosomal RNA, 376 nt
Filed under: uncultured bacterium
Lineage: Bacteria
Description: bacterial SSU rRNA
Rfam family: Bacterial small subunit ribosomal RNA
Source: RNAcentral
UAUGAUACGCGAGGAACCUUACCCGGGCUUGAACUGCAGCGGAAGGAAACAGAGAUGUUGACGUCCUUCGGGACCGCUGCGGAGGUGCUGCAUGGUUGUCGUCAGCUCGUGCCGUGAGGUGUCGGCUUAAGUGCCAUAACGAGCGCAACCCCUGCGGUCAGUUGCCAUCAGUUAGAGCUGGGCACUCUGGCCGGACUGCCACCGCAAGGUGUGAGGAAGGUGGGGACGACGUCAAAUCAGCACGGCCCUUACGUCCGGGGCUACACACGUGUUACAAUGGGGAGCACAGCGAGUCGGCCGCCCGCAAGGUCGGUCCAAUCAUGAAACCUCCCCUCAGUUCGGACUGGGGUCUGCAACCCGACCCCACGAAGCUGGA